CACGGGACCUGGCCGAGAAGCUGCUCGAGGCUGGGACAGGGCCCGGGGCUGAGUCUGGCAGCUCGUGGCCUCCGAGGUCACACAGACACUCGGGCCGCAAGCAAAGGAGAGCACAGAGCAGAUGCUCCCACCUUGUCUCUCCUGGGCCUCGGCCUGGGCGGGCGGACCUCAGCUCCUGCGCCAGCCACUCAGGGGAACUCACCCACGGGGGCCAUGUCCAUGGGCAGAUCCGAGACGGUCAGCUCCACCAGGCACGGAGCCCACCAGACUCAGAGCCCACGGGGCAUGGAGCCCACCAGACUCGGAGCCCACCAGACAUGGAACCCACCAGAUGUGGAGCCCACCAGGCAUGGAGCCCACCAGACACGGAGCCCACCAGGCACGGAGCCCACCAGACAUGGCACCCACCAGACUUGGAGCCCACCAGGCAUGGAGCCCACCAGGCAUGGAGCCCACCAGACACGGAGCCCACCAGGCACGGAGCCCACCAGAUUUGGAGCCCACCAGACGUGGAGCCCACCAGGCAUGGAGUCCACCAGACCUGGAGCCCACCAGGCACUGAGCCCACCAGGCACGGAGCCCGGAGCCCACCAGACUUGGAGCCCACCAGACUUGGAGCCCACCAGACACAGAGCCCACCAGACACAGAGCCCAGAGCCCACAGGCACGGAGCCCACCAGGCAUGGAGCCCAGAGCCCACCAGGCACAGAGCCCACCAGGCAUGGAGCCCAGAGCCCACCAGACUCGGAGCCCACCAGACAUAGAGCCCACCAGACUCGGAGCCCACAAGACACAGAGCCCAGAGCCCACCAGGCAUGGAGCCCACCAGGCACAGAGCCCACCAGGCACAGAGCCCACCAGGCAUGGAGCCCAGAGCACACCAAACUCAGAGCCCACCAGGCACAGAGCCCACCAGACACAGAGCCCACCAGACUUGGAGCCUACCAGGCAUGGAGCCCACCAGGCACGGAGCCCACCAGGCAUGGAGCCCAGAGCCCACCAGACACGGAGCCCACCAGGCAUGGAGCCCACCAGACACGGAGCCCACCUGACACAGAGCCCACCAGGCACAGAGCCCGCCGUGCAUGUAUAGCCUCUGCCGUGGCAUGUGUGCUCCACAUGCAUCUUCUGGGACCAAACAAAUGAAAGGAUGAGAUCAUAAGCAACUGGGGUGAGCUGAAAUCCAGGUCAUAGGGUGCUUGCUUGUUCAGCUGUUUCAGUUCAAACUCUUUGUUAACAGGGACGGUUGCUUCGAACUUGAGGACCAUGAGAAGGAUGGAUCUUACAUCCUUGUUUCUGUGAGCAAAUAGAAAAGUCUCCAGUCAUAUUUCUGAUUUUCUUUUUCUUUCUUAUUUUUCUUCCCACCUGCAGUAUGUUUCCCAGUUUCUGCCAUCUAUGAACUCUGAUGAUUGUAUUGUUUCCUUCUGUAAUUAUUUGCGGGUGAAAUAUUUUAUUAGCUGUUUGUAGAGUGUAUUUAACAUAAAUGUGUCUCAAGAUAUAAAAGCCAAUUGGUGGACACAGGAAAAUUUUUUGAAGAGACCUUAAGAUAUUUUAAAUAAAUUAAAGAUAUUUAUUACCA
RNAcentral lists this long non-coding RNA (1579 nucleotides) under Bos indicus x Bos taurus (hybrid cattle). RNAcentral's name for it is "lncRNA (ENSBIXG00000022274.1)". The record is from RNAcentral. Lineage: Eukaryota; Metazoa; Chordata; Mammalia; Artiodactyla; Bovidae.